This 1019-nucleotide ribosomal RNA is filed under the name uncultured bacterium. RNAcentral describes it as "bacterial SSU rRNA". It matches the Rfam family "Bacterial small subunit ribosomal RNA", at positions 355 to 1375 of the family's 1533-position model. The record is from RNAcentral.
UGAGGAAUAUUGGUCAAUGGACGAGAGUCUGAACCAGCCAAGUAGCGUGAAGGAUGACUGCCCUAUGGGUUGUAAACUUCUUUUAUACGGGAAUAAAGUUAGCCACGUGUGGCUUUUUGUAUGUACCGUAUGAAUAAGGAUCGGCUAACUCCGUGCCAGCAGCCGCGGUAAUACGUAGGGAGCAAGCGUUAUCCGGAUUUACUGGGUGUAAAGGGUGCGUAGGCGGCUUGGUAAGUCAGAUGUGAAAUGUAUGGGCUCAACCCAUGCACUGCAUUUGAAACUAUUGAGCUUGAGUGAAGUAGAGGUAGGCGGAAUUCCCUGUGUAGCGGUGAAAUGCGUAGAGAUAGGGAGGAACACCAGUGGCGAAGGCGGCCUACUGGGCUUUAACUGACGCUGAGGCACGAAAGCGUGGGUAGCAAACAGGAUUAGAUACCCUGGUAGUCCACGCUGUAAACGAUGAUUACUAGGUGUGGGGGGUCUGACCCCUUCCGUGCCGGAGUUAACACAAUAAGUAAUCCACCUGGGGAGUACGACCGCAAGGUUGAAACUCAAAGGAAUUGACGGGGGCCCGCACAAGCAGUGGAGUAUGUGGUUUAAUUCGACGCAACGCGAAGAACCUUACCAAGUCUUGACAUCCCUUGACGAUGCUGGAAACAGUAUUUCUCUUCGGAGCAAGGAGACAGGUGGUGCAUGGUUGUCGUCAGCUCGUGUCGUGAGAUGUUGGGUUAAGUCCCGCAACGAGCGCAACCCUUGUCCUUAGUAGCCAGCAGUAAGAUGGGCACUCUAGGGAGACUGCCGGGGAUAACUCGGAGGAAGGUGGGGACGACGUCAAAUCAUCAUGCCCCUUAUGACUUGGGCUACACACGUGCUACAAUGGCGUAAACAAAGGGAAGCGAACCUGUGAAGGCAAGCAAAUCCCAAAAAUAACGUCUCAGUUCGGAUUGUAGUCUGCAACUCGACUACAUGAAGCUGGAAUCGCUAGUAAUCGCAGAUCAGAAUGCUGCGGUGAAUACGUUCCC